Long non-coding RNA from Microcebus murinus (gray mouse lemur), 931 nucleotides. RefSeq lists it as uncharacterized. The record is from RefSeq and is a predicted model, not a curated record. NCBI's taxonomy places the organism in Eukaryota, Metazoa, Chordata, Mammalia, Primates, Cheirogaleidae.
CGCGAAACUUUCCCGCUGCGGGGGUGGAGCUACUCCGAGACCAGACCGGAAGUGCGGAGCCCGGGGUCGGGUCCACGCUGCAGUAGGCCGGGCGGGGUCUUCUUUAGGGAGUGCUCGCUUUGUAACGUUCGUCUUCAGAGUGUAUCUUCUGUUGUUUUUUACCGAAACUAAUCGUGUCAUUUGUAGUGGAAUUGCGCUUGGUGGAUGGUUUUUGUUACCGGAAGUUGGUCUCCCACCUUUUUACGUGCGCCCGAUUGCUUCCGCUGUAGAUGAUGAUAGAUUAUAGUGCGGGAGACCCAACACGUGGCUGAAAUGCUGGCUUGGAGAGCGACACAUGCUUUUUGACCCUGAGUAUUAAUCAGCAUCCGUAAGGGUACAGGUCCAUCUGUUGCAGCUACCUGAACAGAUAAGCCAAGAGUUACAAAGUUAUUCUUCAAUCAGACUUCAUUCUGUGGAGCUACCUCAGGGGUCAGGACUGAGAUCUCCUCAACUAAUUCUCUGAAAUUCUUACCCAUCGUGGUGCUAAACACAAAAAGGGAGUUUGCCAUGGACUGAAUGUUUGUGUCCUCCUAAAAUUCCUAUGUUGAAACCCUAAACCCAAUGUGAUGGUAUUUGGAGGUGGGGCCUUGGGAGGUAAUUUGGUAAGAAAGUUUUCAUGAAUUGGAUUCUAUAAGAAGGGAUGAAAGAGAGAUGACUUCUUUUUGUCCCAUGUGAAGAAAUGGAAAGAAGCCGUCUGCAAACCAGAAAAAAGGCAAACCAGGAACUAAUAGGCCAGCACUUUGGUACUGGACAUUGUAGCUUUAAAUUCCUGUUGUUUAAGCCCCCUAGUCAGUAGUAUUUUUGUUAUAGCAGCCUGAAUUAAGACAGUGUUCAGAUUAUGAAUAUAAGCUAUCAUUAUCAUGUACAUUCACAUUUCUCAUUUCCCAAAUAU